GGUGGUACGCCCUUUCCUCUCUGCCCCAUAGGGUGUAGCUCUAACUGCCCUCUAGGGAAGAGAAGGUUGGGUGAGCAGCCU
Molecule: microRNA precursor, 81 nt
Organism: Cavia aperea (Brazilian guinea pig)
Lineage: Eukaryota; Metazoa; Chordata; Mammalia; Rodentia; Caviidae
Source: Ensembl